This 425-nucleotide ribosomal RNA is filed under the name uncultured bacterium. RNAcentral's name for it is "bacterial SSU rRNA". It matches the Rfam family "Bacterial small subunit ribosomal RNA", at positions 354 to 796 of the family's 1533-position model. The record is from RNAcentral.
GUUAGGAAUUUUGCACAAUGGGCGAAAGCCUGAUGCAGCAACGCCGCGUGGACGAUGAAGGCCUUCGGGUCGUAAAGUCCUUUUCAACGGGAAGAAACGGACGGUACCGUUGGAAUAAGCAUCGGCUAACUACGUGCCAGCAGCCGCGGUAAUACGUAGGAUGCAAGCGUUAUCCGGAUUUACUGGGCGUAAAGAGCAUGUAGGCGGUCUCGUAAGUUGGACGUGAAAGCCCCCGGCUUAACUGGGGAGGGUCGUUCAAUACUGCGGGACUUGAGGGUGGAAGAGGAGACUGGAAUUCCCGGUGUAGUGGUGAAAUGCGUAGAUAUCGGGAGGAACACCUGUGGUGAAGACGGGUCUCUGGGCCACUUCUGACGCUGAGAUGCGAAAGCGUGGGGAGCGAACGGAAUUAGAAACCCUAGUAGUCC